UGUUCCUGUCCAGGCAUGGUUCCACAUGCAGAAGUAGUGGUGGUGUAACCUUGGCUGAUUAGCGUCCUCGUUUCAAACACCAUAAAAGAAGCAACAUGCAGGCUGCUAUGGAUAUAACUGCAAAGUACUGCCGUAAAGAAAUGGAAGCGUAUGGGUUAUGUGUAGCCUCCAAUCCAUCAACAUGGCAGCAGAAGUGUCACGAGCUGAAGAUGAAUGUUGCACAAUGUACAUCAUCACACCCAGUCAUCCAGAAGAUCAGGCAGGAGUGUUCCAAUGAGUUUGUGGAGUUUGAGCGCUGCCUGAGAGAACAUCAGGGACAACCUGUCUCCUGCUCGCCACAUGUGGCUCGCUUUCUGGGCUGUGCAGAGACAGUUGACCUCAGUGGAGUGGCUACAAAUCCAGUAUCUCAACCAUCUUAGCACAAGAUGUCCUCCAUUACCAGAAAACACCUGUAUCUACACCACUGCCACCAGGUCUGAGUCAGAGUCAAAUAUUAAACUGGAAUGUAUUGCUCCCACACAAACUAUCCUGGCUACUCAGUGACUGAGCAAUAGGGAGUCUGGGAAGAAAGGAGAGGGCUGUCUAGCUCUAAUCAGUGGGACUACUGAAAGAGACAGAGGGAGGAUGUUGAGUUAUGAACCCUGUGACCACUAAGCAGAACAGACAUUUUCUGGUUGAGUUAUUAAAGUUUUGAGUGGAAAGACUGAGAGGAAACUGAUUCCUUGCUUUUAAAGUGCAUCUUUGUUUCGUACCAUUUGAGCAAGUGAUAAAUGUGUCAUCAUUUAUUGUAUUUAGGACAAAGAAGCCAAGUGUUGUUCAAAGACGAAACCGCAGAUUGUAUUGAAGAUACGGCAACAUUACAUUCAAAGCACAUCACCUGGCAGUCACUGAUCAAAAAAGAGUGGAGCUGCUCGCUAUUCAGUUGAGGUGGUGUAAGCCCAUGUCGAAAUGGCUCUCCACCAUAAAUGUUGGGGUCCAGAGCAAGGAGCUGCUGACGUGGCAGAGAUGGAUAUCCCAGCAUCCCAUCCAUGCCAUGGGUACUAGAUCCAUCUAUAUAAAGAUUCAAAACGCCCAAAACUUUAACCAUACCAGUCUUUCUUUCCAUCUUUUUUUCUUUCCUUCUUGAUCUUGUAGUGGUACUCAAAGCUCUUACCCUCGCUGUCGUCAUUGCUUUGGCGGCCGCCUCUGCUCGGUCCCCUCCUGGUGCCUCCCAGCUGCUCUUGUUCCUGCUGCUGCUGCUGCUGCUGUUGCUGUCGGCGAGCUAACUUUUUCAUCUGACGCACAAAAGCACACGGUGUACAAAGUUUCUCUUUGUGCUUUUGUGAGCAUGCCUUUAGGAAAACUAUAAAGUCUUACCUUGGCUCUCUGGUUUUGAAACCACACCUGAACAACACGCACUGUCAGCCCAGUCUCUGCAGCCAGUGUCUCUCUCACCUAGAGGAUAGAGGUUUUAAUUGUUUUAAAAAUCUUAACUUCACAGUGCCAAACACAGCAGCCAUACCCUUGAAAAAUGAAGUUUGGAAAGCAUGACCAGGAGUAUCUUGUGGCAUACUGACAAGACCAACAGCCCACCUUACGGCAUGGUUUGGCUGACACUUCAAAGGAGGCCUUGAAAGCACGCCGCUGCUGUGUGGUCAAGAUAGUGCGUGGACGUUUUGAACGCUUGUGCUCCUUGCCUUCAUCACCACCUUUCCCUCCUCCGGAGCCUCCUCCACCAUCCUCAUCCUCACUUUUUACUGAGCAAGUUAAGUAAACAACAGCACAAUCAGAACAGUGCUCUGCAAACAGUUACAUUUGAAACAAAUAUUUUCCAUGUAGUUUACAGUAACAGUUUGUUCAUUCUCAUGGAAGAAAACGGUACUGCUUAAAUUACUUUCAACAUACUGCUGAAAACUAUCCUCACUAUUUAAAAUUCAAUAAUUGCGCCUUCAUUUAAAAUUUUAAAAAAGGAAGAAGCUUGAAACUUUUUUCUUUUUUGUUUUUUUCUUGAAACUGCUUUUGUCUUAAAUAUCAAGGUUUUUCUUUCAAAUACUGUUUACUGAUUUAAAGGGGAUGAAAAUGAUUGAUUUUGACUAAAGACAUGAGUGUAAAAAGAAAGAUUAUUUCCCCAAGAAAAGUAAUUUUGACCUUUAUUAUGUAUUCUCCAAAGAAACCUGCUUUACCUGAUUCAGUUGGUGUAGGGCUGAUGGCAGCCAGCAUUUCCCUCUCCUUUUCAUAGUCCAUGCGGCAGAGCAGCUGGCCUUCUUUCAGCACAAACUCAUCACCUCUCUGCAGCCGACGUUCACACUCACAGCAGCUGAAGCAGCCCAGGUGGUAUACCUGGCCUAGCACACGCAUUAUCAGCUCAGAGCGUCCAAUGACUUGCAAGCAGGCACUGCACUUUCUUACAAAAAGCCUGGAGGGGCACAGAAACAUACACACGUGGGCUUAUAUUUUCAUGGAUACAUCCAUAAACUGUGAAACGUGGCAUGAUAACAGUCUAGCAGCUUAGAAUAAGAAGUAAAUUAAUUAAAGAUGGCAGCACAAACAAGAAGCUCUGACACAUUUACCCUUAGCGCCAAUGAUUCUGGAGAUUAGCAUAGUCUCUUAAUUAAAGGUCCUAUAAGCAUUACCCAAUUCGCAGUGCAACAAGGUGAACAUCUGUUAGAUGGGUAACAGUAGUCUGUAUUAUUACAUUGUUUUUUAUUUUUAACAUUCUCACAGUAGGGGGCAGUAGUUAGCUUCUUAAAAAGAUGUCUGUGGAGAGUUUUUCCCCAUUUAAAUCCUUGAAUGUUAAGAUUUCCUUGGUGAAGUGAACUCCACUAUGUCCAUAUAUUGCCCACAAUUUAUGUAUUUAACUCAGUGAAUAAAGCUUAAAACAGUCUUUCUCAGGUCUAUUACUUUUCCCCAUGACCACUUUCCUUCUUUUGUCCCCC
Molecule: non-coding RNA, 2915 nt
Organism: Neolamprologus brichardi
Lineage: Eukaryota; Metazoa; Chordata; Actinopteri; Cichliformes; Cichlidae
Source: RefSeq, a predicted model, not a curated record